This 58-nucleotide transfer RNA is filed under the name Changeondelphax velitchkovskyi. RNAcentral's name for it is "tRNA-Ser". The record is from RNAcentral. Lineage: Eukaryota; Metazoa; Arthropoda; Insecta; Hemiptera; Delphacidae.
AGUUAACUUAAAAGACAUGUCUUGAAAACAUGUAAUAAAAUUAAUUUUUUAUUAACUU